GGUUUUUUGAUAUAAAAUAUAAGAUCAGGUCUGCUCAAUGAUUAUAAAUUAAAUGGCUGCAGUAUUUUGACUGUACAAAGGUAGCAUAAUCAUUUGCCUUUUAAUUGGAGGCUGGAAUGAAUGAUUUAAUGAGAAUUAUACUUUCUUUAAUUUUAUAGAAGAAUUUAAUUUAUAAGUUAAAAAGCUUAUAUAUAUUUAAAAGACGAGAAGACCCUAUAGAAUUUUAUUAUAGUUUAUAUAUAUUUAUAUUUGAUUAUAAAAAGAUAUAUAUAAUAUAUAAUUUGGUUGGGGUGAUUAAAAAAAUUUAAUAACUUUUAUUAUUUUUAUACAUUUAUAUAUGUAAAUUUGAUUUGAUUAUUAAUUAUUAUAAGAUUAAAUUACCUUAGGGAUAACAGCGUUAUUAUUUUAAAGAGAUCAUAUCGAUAAAAUAGUUUGCGACCUCGAUGUUGGAUUAAAAUUAAUUUUAGGUGUAGAAGUUUAAUAAUUAAGUCUGUUCGACUUUUAAAUUUUA
This 511-nucleotide ribosomal RNA is filed under the name Fulvius subnitens. RNAcentral's name for it is "partial 16S ribosomal RNA". The stretch from base 388 to 511 matches the Rfam family "Bacterial large subunit ribosomal RNA", at positions 2473 to 2598 of the family's 2925-position model. The record is from RNAcentral. Lineage: Eukaryota; Metazoa; Arthropoda; Insecta; Hemiptera; Miridae.